UCACUGCUAGUUAUGACGGGUGCUUCUG
RNAcentral lists this non-coding RNA (28 nucleotides) under Bombyx mori (domestic silkworm). The record is from RNAcentral. Lineage: Eukaryota; Metazoa; Arthropoda; Insecta; Lepidoptera; Bombycidae.